GACGAACGCUGGCGGCGUGCUUAACACAUGCAAGUGGAGCGACGAAGCGGACUUCGGUCCGUGGCAGAGCCGCGAACGGGUGAGUAACACGUGGGUAACCCACCCCAAUGACCGGGACAACCCGAGGAAACUCGAGCUAAUACCGGAUGUUCUCUUUCCUCAUAAGGGGAUCGAGCAAAGAUAGCUUCGGCCUUCGCAUUGGGACGGGCCCGCGGCCCAUUAGCUUGUUGGUGAGGUAACGGCUUACCAAGGCGACGAUGGGUAGCUGGUCUGAGAGGACGAUCAGCCACACUGGGACUGAGACACGGCCCAGACUCCUACGGGAGGCAGCAGUGGGGAAUCUUGCGCAAUGCGCGAAAGCGUGACGCAGCAACGCCGCGUGGGGGAAGAAGGCCUUCGGGUUGUAAACCCCUUUCAGUUGGGACGAAGCUUCCAGUGUUAAUAGCGCUGUGGAGUGACGGUACCUUCACAAGAAGCCCCGGCUAACUACGUGCCAGCCGCCGCCGUAAAAC
RNAcentral lists this ribosomal RNA (512 nucleotides) under uncultured bacterium. RNAcentral's name for it is "bacterial SSU rRNA". It matches the Rfam family "Bacterial small subunit ribosomal RNA", at positions 28 to 526 of the family's 1533-position model. The record is from RNAcentral.